GACUCUCGGCAACGGAUAUCUUGGUUCUCGCAUCGAUGAAGAACGUAGCGAAAUGCGAUACUUGGUGUGAAUUGCAGAAUCCCGCGAACCAUCGAGUCUUUGAACGCAAGUUGCGCCCGAGGCUAUCCGGCCGAGGGCACGCCUGCCUGGGCGUCACGCCUAGCGUCGCUCCG
Molecule: ribosomal RNA, 173 nt
Filed under: Ophiopogon platyphyllus
Lineage: Eukaryota; Viridiplantae; Streptophyta; Magnoliopsida; Asparagales; Asparagaceae
Description: 5.8S ribosomal RNA
Rfam family: 5.8S ribosomal RNA
About the family: 5.8S ribosomal RNA (5.8S rRNA) is a component of the large subunit of the eukaryotic ribosome. It is transcribed by RNA polymerase I as part of the 45S precursor that also contains 18S and 28S rRNA.
Source: RNAcentral